UACGGGGGGAGCAAGCGUUGUUCGGAUUUACUGGGCGUAAAGGGCGCGUAGGCGGCGUGACAAGUCACUUGUGAAAUCUCCGGGCUUAACUCGGAAAGGUCAACUGAUACUGUGCGACUAGAGUGCGGAAGGGGCAACUGGAAUUCUCGGUGUAGCGGUGAAAUGCGUAGAUAUCGAGAGGAACACCUGCGGCGAAGGCGGGUUGCUGGGCCGACACUGACGCUGAUGCGCGAAAGCCAGGGGAGCGAACGGG
Molecule: ribosomal RNA, 253 nt
Filed under: uncultured bacterium
Lineage: Bacteria
Description: partial 16S ribosomal RNA
Rfam family: Bacterial small subunit ribosomal RNA
Source: RNAcentral